Molecule: unclassified non-coding RNA, 200 nt
Filed under: Botryobasidium sp.
Lineage: Eukaryota; Fungi; Basidiomycota; Agaricomycetes; Cantharellales; Botryobasidiaceae
Description: partial internal transcribed spacer 2
Source: RNAcentral
CUGCUCGACGGGUGAUCUUAUCACGCCAUAAGGUCCGAGGCCGGGGGGAGAUCCAGCUAAUGCAUUCAAGACGAGCCGAGCGCAGAGCGCCCAGCAGCACGUCCAAGUCCAAAUCGCCGACCCACCGGAAAAGGCAGGGGCGUUUGAUGAUAUCAAGACACUCAAACGGGCAUGCUCCUCGGAAUACCAAGGAGCGCAAG